ACAGGGAUUGCCCUAGUAACGGCGAGUGAAGCGGCAACAGCUCAAAUUUGAAAUCUGGCUCUUUUAGAGUCCGAGUUGUAAUUUGCAGAGGGCGCUUUGGCUUUGGCAGCGGUCCAAGUUCCUUGGAACAGGACGUCACAGAGGGUGAGAAUCCCGUACGUGGUCGCUGGCUAUUGCCGUGUAAAGCCCCUUCGACGAGUCGAGUUGUUUGGGAAUGCAGCUCUAAAUGGGAGGUACAUUUCUUCUAAAGCUAAAUAUUGGCCAGAGACCGAUAGCGCACAAGUAGAGUGAUCGAAAGAUGAAAAGCACUUUGGAAAGAGAGUCAAACAGCACGUGAAAUUGUUGAAAGGGAAGCGCUUGCAGCCAGACUUGCUUGCAGUUGCUCAUCCGGGCUUUUGCCCGGUGCACUCUUCUGUAGGCAGGCCAGCAUCAGUUUGGGCGGUAGGAUAAAGGUCUCUGUCACGUACCUCCUUUCGGGGAGGCCUUAUAGGGGAGGCGACAUACUACCAGCCUGGACUGAGGUCCGCGCAUCUGCUAGGAUGCUGGCGUAAUGGCUGUAAGCGGCCCGUCUUGAAACACGGACCAAGGAGUCUAACAUCUAUGCGAGUGUUUGGGUGUCAAGCCCGAGCGCGUAAUGAAAGUGAACGGAGGUGGGAACCCGCAAGGGUGCACCAUCGACCGAUCCUGAUGUCUUCGGAAGGAUUUGAGUAAGAGCAUGGCUGUUGGGACCCGAAAGAUGGUGAACUAUGCUUGAAUAGGGUGAAGCCAGAGGAAACUCUGGUGGAGGCUCGCAGCGGUUCUGACGUGCAAAUCGAUCGUCAAAUUUGGGCAUAGGGGCGAAAGACUAAU
RNAcentral lists this ribosomal RNA (849 nucleotides) under Alternaria carotiincultae. RNAcentral describes it as "eukaryotic LSU rRNA". It matches the Rfam family "Eukaryotic large subunit ribosomal RNA", at positions 68 to 935 of the family's 3401-position model. The record is from RNAcentral. RNAcentral also lists the same sequence under 4 other names. Lineage: Eukaryota; Fungi; Ascomycota; Dothideomycetes; Pleosporales; Pleosporaceae.